GACGAACGCUGGCGGCGUGCUUAACACAUGCAAGUCGAACGGAAAGGCCCUGCUUUUGUGGGGUGCUCGAGUGGCGAACGGGUGAGUAACGCGUGAGUAACCUGCCCUUGACUUUGGGAUAACUUCAGGAAACUGGGGCUAAUACCGGAUAGGAGCUCCUGCUGCAUGGUGGGGGUUGGAAAGUUUCGGCGGUUGGGGAUGGACUCGCGGCUUAUCAGCUUGUUGGUGGGGUAGUGGCUUACCAAGGCUUUGACGGGUAGCCGGCCUGAGAGGGUGACCGGCCACAUUGGGACUGAGAUACGGCCCAGACUCCUACGGGAGGCAGCAGUGGGGAAUAUUGCACAAUGGGCGGAAGCCUGAUGCAGCAACGCCGCGUGCGGGAUGACGGCCUUCGGGUUGUAAACCGCUUUCGCCUGUGACGAAGCGUGAGUGACGGUAAUGGGUAAAGAAGCACCGGCUAACUACGUGCCAGCAGCCGCGGUGAUACGUAGGGUGCGAGCGUUGUCCGGAUUUAUUGGGCGUAAAGGGCUCGUAGGUGGUUGAUCGCGUCGGAAGUGUAAUCUUGGGGCUUAACCCUGAGCGUGCUUUCGAUACGGGUUGACUUGAGGAAGGUAGGGGAGAAUGGAAUUCCUGGUGGAGCGGUGGAAUGCGCAGAUAUCAGGAGGAACACCAGUGGCGAAGGCGGUUCUCUGGGCCUUUCCUGACGCUGAGGAGCGAAAGCGUGGGGAGCGAACAGGCUUAGAUACCCUGGUAGUCCACGCUGUAAACGGUGGGUACUAGGUGUGGGGUCCAUUCCACGGGUUCCACGCCGUAGCUAACGCUUUAAGUACCCCGCCUGGGGAGUACGGCCGCAAGGCUAAAACUCAAAGGAAUUGACGGGGCCCCGCACAAGCGGCGGAGCAUGCGGAUUAAUUCGAUGCAACGCGUAGAACCUUACCUGGGUUUGACAUGGAUCGGGAGUGCUCAGAGAUGGGUGUGCCUCUUUUGGGGUCGGUUCACAGGUGGUGCAUGGCUGUCGUCAGCUCGUGUCGUGAGAUGUUGGGUUAAGUCCCGCAACGAGCGCAACCCUUGUUCACUGUUGCCAGCACGUUAUGGUGGGGACUCAGUGGAGACCGCCGGGGUCAACUCGGAGGAAGAUGGGGAUGACGUCAAGUCAUCAUGCCCCUUACGAGUAGGGGGACACACGUGCUACAUUGGCUGGUACAGAGGGAAGCGAGCCUGUGAGCGGGAGAGAAUCUCACAAAGAACGUCUAAGUCCGGAGUGGAGUGUGUAACUCUACUCCACAGAAGUUGGGAUCGGUUGUAAUUGCAAAUCAGCCACGUUGCGGUGAAUACGUUCCCGGGCUU
This 1347-nucleotide ribosomal RNA is filed under the name uncultured bacterium. Its description in RNAcentral is "bacterial SSU rRNA". It matches the Rfam family "Bacterial small subunit ribosomal RNA", at positions 28 to 1382 of the family's 1533-position model. The record is from RNAcentral.